Molecule: ribosomal RNA, 468 nt
Filed under: uncultured bacterium
Lineage: Bacteria
Description: partial 16S ribosomal RNA
Rfam family: Bacterial small subunit ribosomal RNA
Source: RNAcentral
GACGAACGCUGGCGGCGUGCUUAACACAUGCAAGUCGAACGGAAAGGCCCUGCUUUUGUGGGGUGCUCGAGUGGCGAACGGGUGAGUAACACGUGAGUAACCUGCCCUUGACUUUGGGAUAACUUCAGGAAACUGGGGCUAAUACCGGAUAGGAGCUCCUGCUGCAUGGUGGGGGUUGGAAAGUUUCGGCGGUUGGGGAUGGACUCGCGGCUUAUCAGCUUGUUGGUGGGGGAGUGGCUUACCAAGGCUUUGACGGGUAGCCGGCCUGAGAGGGUGACCGGCCACAUUGGGACUGAGAUACGGACCAGACGCCUACGGGAGGCAGCAGUGGGGAAUAUUGCACAGUGGGCGGAAGCCUGAUGCAGCAACGCCGCGUGCGGGAUGACGGCCUUCGGGUUGUAAACCGCUUUCGCCUGUGACGAAGCGGGAGUGACGGUAAUGGGUAAAGAAGCACCGGCUAACUACGUG